RNAcentral lists this ribosomal RNA (576 nucleotides) under uncultured eukaryote. RNAcentral's name for it is "SSU rRNA". It matches the Rfam family "Eukaryotic small subunit ribosomal RNA", at positions 175 to 769 of the family's 1831-position model. The record is from RNAcentral.
UAAAAACCCCGACUUCSGAAGGGGKGKAUUUAUUAGAUACAAAACCAAUGSCCUUCGGGGCUCUUUGGUGAUUCAUGAUAACUAUACGAAUCGCACGGCCUUGCGCCGGCGAUGGUUCAUUCAAAUUUCUUCCCUAUCAACUUUCGAUGUUUGGGUAUUGGCCAAACAUGGUUGCAACGGGUAACGGAGGGUUAGGGCUCGACCCCGGAGAAGGAGCCUGAGAAACGGCUACUACAUCCAAGGAAGGCAGCAGGCGCGCAAAUUACCCAAUCCCGACUCGGGGAGGUAGUGACAAUAAAUACUGAUACAGGGCCCUUUCGGGCCUUGUAAUUGGAAUGAGUACAACUUAAAUCCCUUAACGAGGAACAAUUGGAGGGCAAGUCUGGUGCCAGCAGCCGCGGUAAUUCCAGCUCCAAUAGCGUAUAUUAAAGUUGUUGUGGUUAAAAAGCUCGUAGUUGAACCUUGGGCCUGGCUGGCCGGUCCGCCUCACCGCGUGCACUGGUCCGGCCGGGCCUUUCCCUCUGUGGAACCCCAUACCCUUCACUGGGCGUGGCGGGGAAACAGGACAUUUACUUU